This is a long non-coding RNA of Astyanax mexicanus (Mexican tetra), 440 nucleotides long. RefSeq lists it as uncharacterized. The record is from RefSeq and is a predicted model, not a curated record. Lineage: Eukaryota; Metazoa; Chordata; Actinopteri; Characiformes; Acestrorhamphidae. The transcript has 2 exons.
GUAACGUGAAAUAAACCAAUCAGAGUGUCUCUUGCUCAUCAUUCUCUUUAAGAGUAGAUCAGGUGAGCUCUGACUUUGGUGGAUUGCUAUUGUAACGGUGCAGCUACCUGGACGUGUUCAACAAACUCUUCUCAGCAGAGGAAACUGAGCUGCUGGUUGACGCUGUGAAGGAGCUCCAGCAGCUCAUUUACGGGAACAGCAAUGUUAUUUUAUUUACUAUUCUGUUUAUUGUUGAUGUAAAAGUUGCCAAGAUAGCGAUGAACGUCUGACUGUUGGCGUCUGUCUAGGUUGUAUUCAGUCAGUGGAGCUCCUGUGUUUUCUGUUACCAAGAUAAACAAGAUAAAACUCCAGAAAUGUACCUGAACACACCUCAUUUCCAGAACACCACGCCCAUCAGUGUAGAUAUAUUCAGAAGAUCUGCUGCUAUUUAAACCAGGCAG